AAAAAAUAACCUUCAUGGAAAAAGCCUGGAGGUGCUUUGUUUGUCAAUCUUUUGUAAUAGAACUCAAGUCAUCACGAUUGAAUUGCAGCACUUGAAGAAAGGAUAUUAUGUUCAGCCAACAAUUAUUACUGAUGUUAAUACCUCCAUGGAAAUUUGGAAAGAGGAAGUAUUUGGACCUGUUCUUUGUGUCAGAACAUUCAAAACUGAACAAGAAGCCAUUGAACUAGCCAAUGACACCGAGUGAGUUGCCUAAAACCAAAUUGCCAAUACUGUAGGAAAGCAUUGCUUCUGCAUUUUUGGACCGGGUGAUUCUUUGGACAAAAAACAUCAAGAUCUCUGAUCCCUUGGAAGAAGACUGCAAGCUUGGUCCCAUCGUUAGUUCUGCCCAGGUAAGAAAAUUGUAUGUUUUGGGUUGAUUUAAAACGCGGUUCUAACUAUAAAGUACUUCAGAAACAAAAUAUCAUGUUUAACAUUGAACUGACACUUUCAUAUAGAAGAUACUAUAUUUGGUUUGUUAUUUUCCAGCAGAUCUUGUAGAUGAAGUGAAGUGGUAACCGUAACACAAUCUGUAGACAAUUUCUACGUACUAAUUUUUGUUAAAUUGCAGUAUGAGAAAGUAAUGAAGUUCAUCUCAAAUGCCAAAAAUGAAGGUGCAACCAUUCUUUAUGGUGGCGAACGGCCUCAGGUAAAAAAAAAAUAACCUUCAUGGAAAAAGCCUGGAGGUGCUUUGUUUGUCAAUCUUUUGUAAUAGAACUCAAGUCAUCACGAUUGAAUUGCAGCACUUGAAGAAAGGAUAUUAUGUUCAGCCAACAAUUAUUACUGAUGUUAAUACCUCCAUGGAAAUUUGGAAAGAGGAAGUAUUUGGACCUGUUCUUUGUGUCAGAACAUUCAAAACUGAACAAGAAGCCAUUGAACUAGCCAAUGACACCGAGUGAGUUGCCUAUUCAGACUUUCACCAAUAUAUUGUGUGUAUAUUUUUUCCCUAUUUAGUAAGUCACUAGUCAGAGUUAACUUCUAGUCAUGUUAGUAUAUUUACUUUACGUCCAUCAUUUUCUAGGAGUUUUUCGGAAUUUUGGAUGAAAAAACUUGCCCUUUAGGCUCCGG
Molecule: long non-coding RNA, 1104 nt
Filed under: Capsicum annuum
Lineage: Eukaryota; Viridiplantae; Streptophyta; Magnoliopsida; Solanales; Solanaceae
Description: long non-coding RNA (CANN_LNC009296)
Source: RNAcentral